This 216-nucleotide ribosomal RNA is filed under the name Glomeromycotina sp. RNAcentral describes it as "partial small subunit ribosomal RNA". The stretch from base 40 to 216 matches the Rfam family "Eukaryotic small subunit ribosomal RNA", at positions 686 to 864 of the family's 1831-position model. Lineage: Eukaryota; Fungi; Glomeromycota. The record is from RNAcentral.
GGGUCAGUAGGUUGGUCGUGCCACCGGUACGUACUGGUCUCACUGAUUCCUCCUUCCUGAAGAACCGUAAUGCCAUUAAUUUGGUGUUGCGGGGAAACAGGACUGUUACUUUGAAAAAAUUAGAGUGUUUAGAGCAAGCUAACGCUUGAAUACAUUAGCAUGGAAUAAUGAAAUAGGACGAUCGAUCCUAUUUUGUUGGUUUCUGGGAUUGACGUA